Molecule: long non-coding RNA, 301 nt
Filed under: Musa acuminata (dwarf banana)
Lineage: Eukaryota; Viridiplantae; Streptophyta; Magnoliopsida; Zingiberales; Musaceae
Description: long non-coding RNA (MACU_LNC006983)
Source: RNAcentral
CUCCUCUCCAUCUUCCCUCUCUUCUUCUUCUUCUUCUUUUCUUCUCUUCUCCCUCUUCUUCCUAAUCUCUUCUUUUCCCUCUUCUUCUUCUUUUCUUCUCUUCUCCCUCAACUUCUCUUCUUCUUCUCCCCACGCCCCCACUGCUCCUCUCUCUGUUUCUCGUGGGAGGCGGUGGGAUAAAACCGAAAUUUUCAGUUUUCUUUAUUUUUUUUUCUUUUUGCAACUUAAUAGUUUAGUCCUUGAAAUUUCUAUAUUUACAUAUAGGUCCUCCAAUUUACAUAUAAAUCCUUAUUAAUAAUUU